Pomacea canaliculata is the source of this 736-nucleotide long non-coding RNA. RefSeq lists it as uncharacterized. The transcript is spliced from 3 exons. The record is from RefSeq and is a predicted model, not a curated record. NCBI's taxonomy places the organism in Eukaryota, Metazoa, Mollusca, Gastropoda, Architaenioglossa, Ampullariidae.
AUACGAGAGAAGCAGUAGUGCCCAAUAAAAGUGCGCAGAGUGUCCCCCCUCCCACUUUUUUUGGGGGGCUGGGGGUUGGUACAGAAGAUGCGUCAACCUCCAGGGGUCGUAGUUAUGAAUCAAGAGUAAGUUGUUGCCCUGUGGAGCAGCACGGGACCUCGGGGAGAAGUCUCUUGUUUCUCCAGUCAUUAAAAGGUGCAUCUGUGAUGUCCUGUUGUCGUCAGAGAGAUUAUGUUGCUGUCAACGUGGAGAGAGAUGUUGGUGUCGAUAAGCCAACACGCACCUGUCAAAGAUACAGAUGAAGAGAAAGAAAUGUUGAUGUCAACAAAUCUUAACGGAACAUGUGAAAGACGAGGGAGACAGCUACUUUUCAGGAGUUGCACAUUUAUUUGAACUGCGAAUUGUAAACCAUUGACUGUAGACAGGCAACACGGGGGACCGCAGACUCUUUUAUUAUUAUUAUUAAUUAAAUAUUAAUGGCUUUAUGGUCGUUUUAUUUCACUUAAGUUGGUAUUUACAUAAAGUCUUAUGACAAAGAAUUGUAAAGUGAUGGAACUUUUGUGUAAUCCCCCUUGUCAUGUAAAUUUCAUAUAUCUGUCAAAGUUUUCUUUUUGCUUAAGUACUACUUGCUUAUUUAAGUAGUUCAUAUAUAUAUAUAACUGUUCUUAUAAAUGUAUAAUUGUUUUGAAAAAAAAGUUUCAAAGAUACUGGGUAACGGAGACUGGAUAAAAAGUUA